RNAcentral lists this ribosomal RNA (1562 nucleotides) under Helicobacter pylori. RNAcentral's name for it is "partial 23S ribosomal RNA". It matches the Rfam family "Bacterial large subunit ribosomal RNA", at positions 1349 to 2925 of the family's 2925-position model. Lineage: Bacteria; Pseudomonadati; Campylobacterota; Epsilonproteobacteria; Campylobacterales; Helicobacteraceae. The record is from RNAcentral.
GGUUUCCUACGCGAUGGUCGUCAUCGUAGGGUUAGUCGGGUCCUAAGCCGAGUCCGAAAGGGGUAGGUGAUGGCAAAUUGGUUAAUAUUCCAAUACCGACUAUGGAGCGUGAUGGGGGGACGCAUAGGGUUAAGCGAGCUAGCUGAUGGAAGCGCUAGUCUAAGGGUGUAGAUUGGAGGGAAGGCAAAUCCACCUCUGUAUUUGAAACCCAAACAGGCUCUUUGAGUCCUUUUAGGACAAAGGGAGAAUCGCUGAUACCGUCGUGCCAAGAAAAGCCUCUAAGCAUAUCCAUAGUCGUCCGUACCGCAAACCGACACAGGUAGAUGAGAUGAGUAUUCUAAGGCGCGUGAAAGAACUCUGGUUAAGGAACUCUGCAAACUAGCACCGUAAGUUCGCGAUAAGGUGUGCCACAGCGAUGUGGUCUCAGCAAAGAGUCCCUCCCGACUGUUUACCAAAAACACAGCACUUUGCCAACUCGUAAGAGGAAGUAUAAGGUGUGACGCCUGCCCGGUGCUCGAAGGUUAAGAGGAUGCGUCAGUCGCAAGAUGAAGCGUUGAAUUGAAGCCCGAGUAAACGGCGGCCGUAACUAUAACGGUCCUAAGGUAGCGAAAUUCCUUGUCGGUUAAAUACCGACCUGCAUGAAUGGCGUAACGAGAUGGGAGCUGUCUCAACCAGAGAUUCAGUGAAAUUGUAGUGGAGGUGAAAAUUCCUCCUACCCGCGGCAAGACGGAAAGACCCCGUGGACCUUUACUACAACUUAGCACUGCUAAUGGGAAUAUCAUGCGCAGGAUAGGUGGGAGGCUUUGAAGUAAGGGCUUUGGCUCUUAUGGAGCCAUCCUUGAGAUACCACCCUUGAUGUUUCUGUUAGCUAACUGGCCUGUGUUAUCCACAGGCAGGACAAUGCUUGGUGGGUAGUUUGACUGGGGCGGUCGCCUCCUAAAAAGUAACGGAGGCUUGCAAAGGUUGGCUCAUUGCGGUUGGAAAUCGCAAGUUGAGUGUAAUGGCACAAGCCAGCCUGACUGUAAGACAUACAAGUCAAGCAGAGACGAAAGUCGGUCAUAGUGAUCCGGUGGUUCUGUGUGGAAGGGCCAUCGCUCAAAGGAUAAAAGGUACCCCGGGGAUAACAGGCUGAUCUCCCCCAAGAGCUCACAUCGACGGGGAGGUUUGGCACCUCGAUGUCGGCUCAUCGCAUCCUGGGGCUGGAGCAGGUCCCAAGGGUAUGGCUGUUCGCCAUUUAAAGCGGUACGCGAGCUGGGUUCAGAACGUCGUGAGACAGUUCGGUCCCUAUCUGCCGUGGGCGUAGGAAAGUUGAGGAGAGCUGUCCCUAGUACGAGAGGACCGGGAUGGACGUGUCACUGGUGCACCAGUUGUUCUGCCAAGAGCAUCGCUGGGUAGCUACACACGGAUGUGAUAACUGCUGAAAGCAUCUAAGCAGGAAGCCAACUCCAAGAUGAACUUUCCCUGAAGCUCGCACAAAGACUAUGUGCUUGAUAGGGUAGAUGUGUAAGUGCAGUAAUGCGUUUAGCUGACUACUACUAAUAGAGCGUUUGGCUUGUUUUUUG